CUUGUAGUUGGGAAAGUGUUGCCUCUUCGGUUUUCGAACAAGCAAUCCUAUCAGGGAUCUGGCUCUCUCGAGAUUCGGAGAACGAUGUCUCUUCGAUUUUUGAGAAAGCAAUCCUGCUGGGGGUCUGGCUCUCGAGAUUCGGAGAGCGGUAUCUCUUCGAUUUUUGAGAAGGUAAUCAUGUUGGGAGUCUGGCUCUCGAGAUUCGGAGGGCGGUGCCUCUUCGAUUUUGGAGCAAGCAAUCUUGUUGGGAGUGUUUUCUCGAAUGUGAGUAAAGGUUGGGCAUGUUUGCUAGUCUACCUUGCCACGAAGCACAGAGGUUGACACACAGGGACUUUCCAAUUAUCCAGCAAUGGUACUGUUCCUUUACCCUCUCUUCGAUUUUUGAGAAAGUAGUCAUGCUGGGAGUCUGGCUCUCGAGAUUCGGAGGACGGUGCCUCUUCGAUUUUGGAGCAAGCAAUCUUGUUGGGAGUGUUUUCUCGAAUGUGAGUAAAGGUUGGGCAUGUUUGCUAGUCUACCUUGCCACGAAGCACAGAGGUUGACACACAGGGACUUUCCAAUUAUCCAGCA
RNAcentral lists this long non-coding RNA (567 nucleotides) under Malus domestica (apple). Its description in RNAcentral is "long non-coding RNA (MDOM_LNC004170)". The record is from RNAcentral. Lineage: Eukaryota; Viridiplantae; Streptophyta; Magnoliopsida; Rosales; Rosaceae.